Molecule: non-coding RNA, 119 nt
Filed under: Insolitispirillum peregrinum
Lineage: Bacteria; Pseudomonadati; Pseudomonadota; Alphaproteobacteria; Rhodospirillales; Novispirillaceae
Description: TPP sequence
Rfam family: TPP riboswitch aptamer (THI element)
About the family: Vitamin B(1) in its active form thiamin pyrophosphate (TPP) is an essential coenzyme that is synthesised by coupling of pyrimidine and thiazole moieties in bacteria. The previously detected thiamin-regulatory element, thi box was extended, resulting in a new, highly conserved RNA secondary structure, the THI element, which is widely distributed in eubacteria and also occurs in some archaea.
Source: Rfam by way of RNAcentral
AGCCAUUCCGAGGGGUGCCGUUCCAUCAGGACGGCUGAGACCAGGCGCUUGGGCGUGCCGGGAACCCUUUGAACCUGAUCCGGGUCAUACCGGCGGAGGGAUAGGAACCUGAGCGUGCC